Molecule: ribosomal RNA, 253 nt
Filed under: uncultured bacterium
Lineage: Bacteria
Description: partial 16S ribosomal RNA
Rfam family: Bacterial small subunit ribosomal RNA
Source: RNAcentral
UACGUAGGGGGCGAGCGUUGUCCGGAAUCACUGGGCGUAAAGGGCGCGUAGGCGGUUUUUUAAGUCACAUGUGAAAUCCCCAGGCUUAACCUGGGAGUUGCAUGUGAAACUGGAAGGCUUGAGUGUGGUAGAGGAAAGUGGAAUUCCUAGUGUAGCGGUGGAAUGCGUAGAUAUUAGGAGGAACGCCAGUGGCGAAGGCGACUUUCUGGGCCAUAACUGACGCUGAGGCGCGAAAGCGUGGGGAGCAAACAGG